This 253-nucleotide ribosomal RNA is filed under the name uncultured bacterium. RNAcentral's name for it is "partial 16S ribosomal RNA". It matches the Rfam family "Bacterial small subunit ribosomal RNA", at positions 524 to 776 of the family's 1533-position model. The record is from RNAcentral.
UACAGAGGGGGCAAGCGUUGUUCGGAAUUACUGGGCGUAAAGGGCGCGUAGGCGGCCUGCUAAGUCGAACGUGAAAUCCCUGGGCUCAACCCAGGAACUGCGUCCGAUACUGGUUGGCUUGAAUCCGGGAGAGGGAUGUGGAAUUCCAGGUGUAGCGGUGAAAUGCGUAGAUAUCUGGAGGAACACCGGUGGCGAAGGCGGUUCUCUGGGAAUGUCCUGACGCUGAGGAGCGAAAGCGUGGGGAGCGAACAGG